CAGAAAUAAACGUCCCAGUUCGGAUUGUAGUCUGCAACCCGACUACAUGAAGCUGGAAUCGCUAGUAAUCGCGGAUCAGAAUGCCGCGGUGAAUACGUUCCCGGGUCUUGUACACACCGCCCGUCACACCAUGGGAGUCGGAAAUGCCCGAAGUCAGUGACCCAACCGUAAGGAGGGAGCUGCCGAAGGUGGAGCCGGUAACUGGGGUGAAGUCGUAACAAGGUACC
This 227-nucleotide ribosomal RNA is filed under the name uncultured bacterium. RNAcentral describes it as "partial 16S ribosomal RNA". It matches the Rfam family "Bacterial small subunit ribosomal RNA", at positions 1274 to 1500 of the family's 1533-position model. The record is from RNAcentral.